UACGGAGGAUCCGAGCGUUAUCCGGAUUUAUUGGGUUUAAAGGGUGCGCAGGCGGGGGAUUAAGUCGGCAGUGAAAUUUUGCAGCUCAACUGUAAAAGUGCCUUCGAAACUGGUUUCCUUGAGUGUAGAUGAAGUAGGCGGAAUUUGUGGUGUAGCGGUGAAAUGCAUAGAUAUCACGAGGAACUCCGAUUGCGCAGGCAGCUUACUAAACUACUACUGACGCUCAGGCACGAAGGCGUGGGGAUCAAACAGGAUUAGAUACCCUGGUA
RNAcentral lists this ribosomal RNA (269 nucleotides) under uncultured prokaryote. RNAcentral describes it as "partial 16S ribosomal RNA". It matches the Rfam family "Bacterial small subunit ribosomal RNA", at positions 524 to 792 of the family's 1533-position model. The record is from RNAcentral.